This 690-nucleotide unclassified non-coding RNA is filed under the name Hevea brasiliensis (rubber tree). Lineage: Eukaryota; Viridiplantae; Streptophyta; Magnoliopsida; Malpighiales; Euphorbiaceae. The record is from RNAcentral.
UAAGAAGAAGAAACCCCAUUACCUCUCCUCUUUUGGCUCACCUAUUUUGCUUCACAAUUGAGAGUUUGGUUGGGUCAGGGUGAGUGGGUUUAUGGGUAGCUCAAGCUCAAAGGGGGUGUUGUUGUUGUAGUCAUAGUGUGUAAAGAGACUUGACAUGGUAUUGUCUUCUUGCCCCUUUUGUUAGCUGCCAUUACUGUAAUGUUCUUCUACUUCCAAGAUUUGGGUUCUCAUGUAGAAAUUUCAAGUACCACCUGAAAAAUUUACCAGAUCUCUCAAGAACAACAACUGUCCUAUCUGCUUUGACAUGGGAACUUUGGCACCUGAACCUGAGGUCACAUGCUCGAAAAAGUACUUAGCAUUGGGUCUGAAGAUAUCUGGCAAGGAAAAAUCAGGAAAACCCAGAGUUCUAUCACUUCUUUCAACACUUCUUGAGAGGUCUGUUCAAAAUAAUGAAAGCUUAUUAGAAAGUUCACAAAGUGAAGACGUGAUCACAAUAUUUCAUGGAUCAAGAGCCCCCUCUCUCAAUAUUGAACAGUACUUGGAUCGCAUUUAUAAGUAUUCAUGUUGCAGCCCUUCAUGCUUUGUGGUCGCACACAUAUACAUGGAGAGAUUCAUUGAAUGCACUAGUGCUCAUUUAACUUCCCUCAAUGUUCACCGACUACUUAUCACGAGUGUGAUGGUGGCAGCAAA